GGCCGCCUGGCGAAAUGGCAUCGCGUCUGACUACGAAUUGCGAAUCAGGAGAUUGCAGGUUCGACCCCUGCGGUGGUCA
Molecule: non-coding RNA, 79 nt
Organism: Lentinula guzmanii
Lineage: Eukaryota; Fungi; Basidiomycota; Agaricomycetes; Agaricales; Omphalotaceae
Source: the annotation of a GenBank genome assembly